This 30-nucleotide non-coding RNA is filed under the name Rattus norvegicus (Norway rat). The record is from RNAcentral. Lineage: Eukaryota; Metazoa; Chordata; Mammalia; Rodentia; Muridae.
UAGUGCGAUUUUCAUGCCAGCAUGUGCCAG